This 497-nucleotide ribosomal RNA is filed under the name uncultured bacterium. RNAcentral's name for it is "partial 16S ribosomal RNA". It matches the Rfam family "Bacterial small subunit ribosomal RNA", at positions 28 to 507 of the family's 1533-position model. The record is from RNAcentral.
GAUGAACGCUGGCGGCGUGCCUAAUACAUGCAAGUCGAGCGAACAGACGAGGAGCUUGCUCCUCUGACGUUAGCGGCGGACGGGUGAGUAACACGUGGAUAACCUACCUAUAAGACUGGGAUAACUUCGGGAAACCGGAGCUAAUACCGGAUAAUAUAUUGAACCGCAUGGUUCAAUAGUGAAAGACGGUUUUGCUGUCACUUAUAGAUGGAUCCGCGCCGUAUUAGCUAGUUGGUAAGGUAACGGCUUACCAAGGCAACGAUGCGUAGCCGACCUGAGAGGGUAAUCGGCCACACUGGAACUGAGACACGGUCCAGACUCCUGCGGGAGGCAACAGUAGGGAAUCUUCCGCAGUGGGCGAAAGCCUGACGGAACAAGGCCGCGUAAGUGAUGAAGGUCUUCAGAUCGUAAAACGCUGUUAUUAGGGAAGAACAAAUGUGUAAGUAAAUAUGCACGUCUUGACGGUACCUAAUCAGAAAGCAACGGCUAACUACGUG